Molecule: unclassified non-coding RNA, 337 nt
Filed under: soil metagenome
Description: partial contains 5.8S ribosomal RNA, internal transcribed spacer 2, and large subunit ribosomal RNA
Rfam family: 5.8S ribosomal RNA (bases 1-120)
Source: RNAcentral
GAUGAAGAACGUAGCGAAAUGCGAUACGUAGUGUGAAUUGCAGAAUUCAGUGAAUCAUCGAAUCUUUGAACGCACAUUGCGCCCGCCAGCAUUCUGGCGGGCAUGCCUGUUCGAGCGUCAUUUCAACCCUCAAGCUCUGCUUGGUGUUGGGGCCCUACGGUUGACGUAGGCCCUUAAAGGUAGUGGCGGACCCUCUCGGAGCCUCCUUUGCGUAGUAACUAACGUCUCGCACUGGGAUUCGGAGGGACUCUUGCCGUAAAACCCCCAAAUUUUUAAAGGUUGACCUCGGAUCAGGUAGGAAUACCCGCUGAACUUAAGCAUAUCAAUAAGCGGAGGA